GUAGGUGGCAAGCGUUGUCCGGAAUUAUUGGGCGUAAAGCGCGCGCCGGCGGUUCUUUAAGUCUGAUGUGAAAGCCCACGGGCUCAACCGUGGAGGGUCAUUGGAAACUGGAGAACUUGAGUACAGAAGAGGAAAGCGGAAUUCCACGUGUAGCGGUGAAAUGCGUAGAGAUGUGGAGGAACACCAGUGGCGAAGGCGGCUUUCUGGUCUGUAACUGACGCUGAGGCGCGAAAGCGUGGGGAGCAAACAGGAUUAGAUACCCUGGUAGUCCACGCCGUAAACGAUGAGUGCUAAGUGUUAGGGGGUUUCCGCCCCUUAGUGCUGCAGCUAACGCAUUAAGCACUCCGCCUGGGGAGUACGGCCGCAAGGCUG
RNAcentral lists this ribosomal RNA (372 nucleotides) under uncultured organism. Its description in RNAcentral is "partial 16S ribosomal RNA". It matches the Rfam family "Bacterial small subunit ribosomal RNA", at positions 527 to 896 of the family's 1533-position model. The record is from RNAcentral.